RNAcentral lists this long non-coding RNA (3542 nucleotides) under Homo sapiens (human). Its description in RNAcentral is "HSALNT0110670". The record is from RNAcentral. Lineage: Eukaryota; Metazoa; Chordata; Mammalia; Primates; Hominidae.
CAUAAGCAAGAAAAUAUCACAUCAUACUUCACAAUGUAUACAACUAUUAUUUCUCAACUAAAAAUAAGUAGAGAAGCAGAGAAAUGGCACUUUGAAAAUAACUUGACUUGCCAUUCAUAGAUUUGAAGAUAAGAGAGUCAGGGAAUACAGACAUUCCCUAGAAGCUAAAAAAGUCAAGAAAAUAUGUUUUUCCUUGGAAACCCCAGAAAGAAAUGCAGUUCUUCUAACACCUUGAUUUUAGCCCAGUGAGAGUUGCAUGUCUAAAUUCUGAUUUAUAGAUCUGUAAGAUAAUACUUGCGAUUGCUUUAAGCUAUCUAAUUUGUGGUAAUUUGUAACAGCAGUCAUAGGAAACUAAUACAUCAGUCAAUACCUACGAGUGGGAUUGCUGGGUCAUGUGAUAAGUGUGUGUUUAAUUUUAUAAGAAAAACUGCCAAACUGUUAAAAAUGAAAUAAGUAAUUCCUUUGUUAUACAGGUGAAGAAACAGACUAAGAGAGAAAAGGUAUAUGGUCAGGUUGGUAGUCAACGAAUAGUAAUGAAUUGUUUUUAAAACACGGAAGAAGAGGAAGAGGAGGAGAAGGCUGAUGAAGAGGAGCAGAAGCUAGAAGAGGUGGAGGGAAGACAAAGGGGGAGGGGAAAGGCCCUUAUAUGGGCCACAAAGCCUACAACAUUUAUUAUCUAACCCUUUACAGAAAAAGUUUGCUGACUGUACAGUAUUCCCUGAGUUCUCGAGUAUUUAUAAAGUUGUUACAGUCUUGUUACUGAAGGCUAGUGGUGGUAUAGUAUGGUAAAUGGUGAUAAGUGAUAAGAAAAAUGAAAGCAAACCAGGAAAGGAGAGUAUAAGAAGGGAGAGUACAGAUUUUAGAUGGUUAGGAAACCCUUACUGAAAAUGUAAAUUUUAAACUAAGAUAUGCAUAAAGUGAGAAAAUGGCCAUUUGGAAAUCUAAAAGGAGAGCAUGUCAAGUCACUGGCACACAGGAGUAGAAGCUUUGAGGCGGGAGCAUGGAUGUUACUGUCAAAGACUAGUAGACACCAGUAUUGCUGGAGCAAAGAGAGCCAGAGGUGAGUAGAAAAGGAAAAUGUGAGAAAAGUCAUGGGGAACCAGAUCAAGUAGGAACAAAUUCCUGUGAAUAAUUUUUAUUUUGCUUCAAGUGAGACAGAAACCCAUUAAGAAGAAGAGGGAAAUAAUCUGAGUUCUGGGUUUAGUAGGAUCACUCGACUAUGCUACUACGCUGAUAUUAAACUAUAGGAGACAGGGCAAAAGCAAAGGGAUAGACCAGAAAGCUAAGGCAAUUAUUCAUUUGAGAAAUAUAGUACCUUAAAUCUGAGUGGUGGCUACGAGAAUGAUGUAAAGUAGUCACAUUCUGGGUAUAAACAACCAAAUUUGCUGAAUAACUAUAGUAAGAAUGAGAAAAGAAUAAAGUCAAAGACAACACCAAAAUUAAAUACUUGUGCAUUUGGAUGACUGGAGUUUUCAAUAACUUAAAAGGAAAAUAACAUAGAAUAAGAUUCAGGGGAGGAGUAUAAGGAGUUCAAGUUGGAGCUUGUUCAAUUGAGUACCUACAAUAUACCCAUAUUCAUAUGUACAUGUUUUCAUACAUGUUUAUAUACACAUGACUAUAUGGGUCUGGAGUUUGGGGCAGAAUUUCUGGUUGAAAAAUAUUAAUUAAAGAGGUAUCUGUACAUUGACAACAUUUAAAUCCAUGAAACUGGAUGAGUUAACCUAGGCUGAGUGUCCAGAGAAGAGAAAAAAGUUUAAUGUCAGAACUCUGAAACACUGUACCAUUUCAAGGUCAGAAAACUGAGGAAGUUGUAGCUAAAGAAGCUGCAAAAAAGCAACCAGAAAUAUUGGAGUAAAACCAGGAGAGAAAAAUUAGAAGGAAAAUUAACAAUCUAAAAUCUCUGUAGGAAAUUCUUGGUCAGGGUACUAGAUUUGUUUUUCAAAUGGCUGUUUUUUCAUAGAUAGAAAGGAAAGGCAGAUGGAAUAAGAAAAAUUAAUGUGUUUCUUUGGUAACAAUUUUAUUAAAUUCCACCAUAACUGCAUAUACUAUUAAUCUAAAAUCUUUACUGCUUCAGGAUUAUGGAGUUUACAUUUCUAUUCUGGAGAAUUUAUUUUAUAUUGGUAAUUUCCCUGCUUUCUCUUAGAUUCAUACUUAGCUUCCUUCAAUCCGUAUGGGUGGGACUGGGAGUCUACAAACAUUUCUCCGAUCCUUUUCUUGUGGUCUUGAUAUUAACUUCUGCCUCCCAGAGGUACUGGUCAAAAGUCAGAAGUCUGGGCAGUACAGAGAUGUUGUCAGCUCCUGUUUUUUUCUGAUAUGGCAGCUGGAGUCACUCCAGACUCCAGUAAUCCAGCCAGAAUCGUUUCUUUUUUCAGUGGUUUUACUAACAGAAAGGGAGACUCCUUCCAGAAGUUCCCAAAUCAAUUUUAAGAGCAGGAUGCUAAGUACAGGCUCAUGAGCUUCAUCCCACGGAUAUUAGAACUUCUGAUCUUUGAAUAUUUACCCUAUCUUAGUUUUUGCUCUGUGCUUCCAACAAAUGUGUAACCUAUGUAUUAUAUUUCCUCAGGUACUGUAUUCCCUCUGAAACUCAGGUCUUGGAUAUAUUCUUGAAUCUUAAGACAUAUAACUUUAUCCUGUAUUGUUAUUUUCUAUUAGUUUAUUUUUCUUUCAUUAUUGUAUCCAAUAUGGCAGAAAAUACACUUGCUAUAUUCAUAUAUGUACUAUUAGCCCUUAGCACAGAGUUUGGCAUAUAUUAAGUAAAUAAGCAGUGAAAGGUAAAUAAAGUAAUUAAAUGAUGCAAUAUACAAAUACUUGUUUUUUAAAAAUGAUGUAUAUUGGAUGGUAUUUUCACAAACACACAAGCACAUGUGCACACUAAUUUAUUUUUGAGUAGGCUAUAGACUUUUCCUUAUAUUGACCCAAUAGAAAGGUGAGGUGUGUGUCCCACUUUCUUGAAUCUGGGCAAGCCUGUGACUACAUCAACCGAUAGAAUAGAAUGGAAUAGAAAUAGCAGUGCAUAAUUUUGAAUUUAGGUCAUAAAAAAAAAGUCUUACAAGUUUCUCCUUGCUUCCUAGAAUACUUGAGAGGUCUGAACCAUUAUGUAAGAAAUCUGUCUAAUCAGAGGCUGCCAUACUGUUAGGAAGACUAAGUCACAUGGUUAGCUGUUAUGUAGACACACUCCCUUGGACAGCCUUGGCUGAAUCCAGUUUUUGAGUCAUUUCAGCUCACAUAUCAGACAUGUGACAAAAGAAUAUUCUAGAUGUUUGGGAAUUGUUUGACUGUUAGUCAUUUAAUUAGGUCCUCAAUUAGAACCUUAUCAAUUAGGUCCUCAAAUACUGUCAGGUAGAAAUAAGUUAACCCUCUGUUUAUUUCUGAACUUCUGAUUUAUAGAAUAUAGAAGCAUUGUAAAUCUUUUUGUUUGCUUUUUAAUGCCACUAUUUUUUUAUAGUGUUUGUUACAUAGCAAUGCAUAACUGCAUAACUGGAACAAAAGUUUUAUCAUUUUUGAAACAAUGAAUCACUUUUAAAUGGCCAAAACCAGACAAG